This 624-nucleotide ribosomal RNA is filed under the name Massilia sp. MJN11. RNAcentral describes it as "bacterial SSU rRNA". It matches the Rfam family "Bacterial small subunit ribosomal RNA", at positions 118 to 755 of the family's 1533-position model. The record is from RNAcentral. Lineage: Bacteria; Pseudomonadati; Pseudomonadota; Betaproteobacteria; Burkholderiales; Oxalobacteraceae.
UGGGCAAUCUGCCCUUCACUCUGGGACAAGCCCUGGAAACGGGGUCUAAUACCGGAUACGACCACUUCAGGCAUCUGAUGGUGGUGGAAAGCUCCGGCGGUGAAGGAUGAGCCCGCGGCCUAUCAGCUUGUUGGUGAGGUAAUGGCUCACCAAGGCGACGACGGGUAGCCGGCCUGAGAGGGCGACCGGCCACACUGGGACUGAGACACGGCCCAGACUCCUACGGGAGGCAGCAGUGGGGAAUAUUGCACAAUGGGCGAAAGCCUGAUGCAGCGACGCCGCGUGAGGGAUGACGGCCUUCGGGUUGUAAACCUCUUUCAGCAGGGAAGAAGCGAAAGUGACGGUACCUGCAGAAGAAGCGCCGGCUAACUACGUGCCAGCAGCCGCGGUAAUACGUAGGGCGCAAGCGUUGUCCGGAAUUAUUGGGCGUAAAGAGCUCGUAGGCGGCUUGUCACGUCGGAUGUGAAAGCCCGAGGCUUAACCUCGGGUCUGCAUUCGAUACGGGCAGGCUAGAGUGUGGUAGGGGAGAUCGGAAUUCCUGGUGUAGCGGUGAAAUGCGCAGAUAUCAGGAGGAACACCGGUGGCGAAGGCGGAUCUCUGGGCCAUUACUGACGCUGAGGAGCG